Non-coding RNA from Osmia lignaria (orchard mason bee), 397 nucleotides. NCBI's taxonomy places the organism in Eukaryota, Metazoa, Arthropoda, Insecta, Hymenoptera, Megachilidae. The record is from RefSeq and is a predicted model, not a curated record.
UGCUGUAGUUAAUCCUUUAGCGGUAAAAAAAGCGGUUACAAGUCCAGGUACUUCUUUCUCGAAAUUGCAAAAACUGCUUGAAUGGGAGGAAUUAUGAAACAACAUGAUAGACAUACAACUCUAAAGUACAGGUUCGGCGUCCCUCUAGGGCACAUGAUGGUCUAAGCCAGCGAAGGGGAAACUGAUUCCAUCCACUGAUUUGCGGCGGCGAAGGGAAACGCCAUGGCUGAUCGACACCGCUGUCAACCGCAGAGCAAAGUGAAACCCCCCUCAGUCUUACAGCGACCACCAAGGAGCGCGGAUCUACCUGUUAAAUAUACAUACACCUUUAUUUUAUCUUCUGCAUGUAUUUAAUUUACUAUAUUUAUCUUCUUAACUCCUUCAAUAAACUUAUUAA